Molecule: long non-coding RNA, 307 nt
Organism: Pollicipes pollicipes
Lineage: Eukaryota; Metazoa; Arthropoda; Thecostraca; Pollicipedomorpha; Pollicipedidae
Exons: 3
Source: RefSeq, a predicted model, not a curated record
CUCGCCGCGGAGGCUGCGGACCGACGGCGGGCGGGGAGUGCCGCCGUCAUCAUAAUACAUCUUGAAGGAAAGCAGCACCAGUGCACAUAUGAAUUCCCCAGAACCGUGUGCUGUCUGUGGAACAGCAGUAAACAGCCCUGGGGCUGCAGAAAAUAGUGCGCUGCUGCAUGUGCUGACCUCACUGCUGGAGCCGGCGCCGUCGGCCUGUGCGCCGGUCGGCCUCCUCUGUCGGCCCUGCGGCCAGCUGCUGACCGAGGCGUCGGUGCUGCAGGCGCGGCUCGAACAGCUCAAGAGAGCCGUGCUUAGG